UUGCUUUUUAACAUCUUAGUGGCGCACGGGUGAGUAACACGUGGGCAACCUGCCCGGAAGUUCGGGAUAACAGCGCGAAAGUGCUGCUAAUACCGAAUACCUUCAAGCGGCCUCAUGGUCAUUUGAAGAAAGAUUUAUUGCUUCCGGAUGGGCCCGCGUCCCAUUAGCUAGUUGGUGAGGUAACAGCUCACCAAGGCGACUAUGGGUAGCUGGUCUGAGAGGACGAUCAGCCACACUGGAACUGAGACACGGUCCAGACUCCUACGGGAGGCAGCAGUGGGGAAUCUUGCGCAAUGGGCGAAAGCCUGACGCACCAACGCCGCGUGAACGAUGAAGGCCUUCGGGUCGUAAAGUUCUGUCAAGGGGGACGAUGAUGACGGUA
RNAcentral lists this ribosomal RNA (382 nucleotides) under uncultured bacterium. RNAcentral describes it as "bacterial SSU rRNA". It matches the Rfam family "Bacterial small subunit ribosomal RNA", at positions 72 to 477 of the family's 1533-position model. The record is from RNAcentral.